This is a long non-coding RNA of Oncorhynchus tshawytscha (Chinook salmon), 3660 nucleotides long. Lineage: Eukaryota; Metazoa; Chordata; Actinopteri; Salmoniformes; Salmonidae. The record is from Ensembl.
AAGAGAGAGAGCCUCUGCCCUCCCACAGUGUGACCCUCCGACGGGGAGACAGGAGCAUCAACAUAUCCCUCUCCAGGAGCUGAAGUUCAUUAAGAUCAACAAUAAUUCUGUAUAACCAGGCAUUGUCUACUACCCUACCCGGUCUCUGGGAAUUCUCUAGAGUCCUGUUACAGGACCUGAGCCCUAGGACCAUGCCUCAGAACUACCUGGCAUGAUGACUCCUUGAUGUCCCCAGUCCAUCUGGCCGUGCUGCUGCUCCAGUUUCAACUGUUCUGCCUGCGGCUAUGAACCCUGACCUGUUCACCGGACGUGCUACCUGUCCCAGACCUGCUGUUUUCAACUCUCUAGGGACAGCAGGAGCGGUAGAGAUACUCUCAAUGAUCGGCUAUGAAAAGCCAACUGACAUUUACUCCUGAGGUGCUAACUUGUUGCACCCUCGACAACUACUGUGAUUAUUAUUAUUUGACUAUGCUGGUCAUUUAUGAACAUUUGAACAUCUUGGCCAUGUUCUGUUAUAAUCUCCACCCGGCACAGCCAGAAGAGGUCACCCCUCAUAGCCUGGUUCCUCUCUAGGUUUCUUCCUAGGUUUUGGCCUUUCUAGGGAGUUUUUCCUAGACACCGUGCUUCCACACCUGCAUUUCUUGCUGUUUGGGUUUUUAGGCUGGGUUUCUGUACAGCACUUUGAUAUACCAGCUGAUGUAAGAAGGGCUAUAUACAUACAUUUGAUUGAUUGAUUUGAUGACACCGAGGAAGCUCACAAACCCGCUCCACUACAGCCCUGUCGAUGUGAAUGGGGGCCUGCUCGACCCUCCAUUUUCUUUAGUCCACGAUCAGCUCCUUUAUCUUGCUGAUGUUGAGGGAGAGGUUGUUGUCCUGGCACCACACUGCCAGGUCUCUGACCUCCUCCCUAUAGGCCGUCUCAUCUUCGUCAGUGAUCAGGCUUACCCCCUUCUUGUCUUCUGCAAACUUAAUGAAGGUGUUGGAGUCAUGUGUGAACAGGGAGUACAGGAGGGGACUAAGCACGCACCCCUGAAGGGCCCCUGUGCUGAGGGUCAGCGUGGCAGAUGUGUUGUUGCCUACCCUCACCAUAUGGGGGCUGCCCGUCAGGAAGUCCAGGAUCCAGUUGCAGAGGGAGGUGUUCAGUCCCAGGGUCCUUAGCUUAAGUAUGAGCUUGUAGGGCAAUAUGGUGUUGAACGCUGAGCUGUAGUCAAUGAACAGCAUUCUCAUGUAGGUGUUCCUUAUGUCCAGUUGGGGCAGUGUCGGUUGCAUAAUUUGUGGAUCUGUUGGGGUGGUAUGAGAAUUGGAGGGGGUCCAGGGUGUCUGUGUUGAUGUGAGCCAUGACCAUUCUUUCAAAGCAUUUCAUGGAUACAGAUGUGAGUGCUAAGGGGAUAGUCAUUUAGACAGGUUACAUUGGUGUUCUUUGGCACAGGGACCAUGGUGGUCUGCUUGAAACAUGUAGGUAUUACAGACUGGGUCAGGGAGAGAUUGAAAAUGUCAGUGAAGACACUUUCCAACUGGUCAGCGCAUGCUCUGAGUAUGCAUCUGAGUAAUCAGUCUGAAUGUUAAACUGUUUAAUGAUCUUACUCACAUCGGCUAUGGAGAUAGUGAUUACACAGCUGUCCAGAACAGCUAGUAAUCUCAUGCAUGGUUCUGUUUUGCGAGCCUCAAAACGAGAAUAGAAGGCAUUUACCUCAUCUUGGGUCACUGGGUAGCUCGUGGCUGGGUUUCUGGUUCUAAUCCGGGAUAGUUUGUAAGCCCUGCCACAUCUAACAAGAGUCAGAGCUUGUGUAGUAAGAUUCGAUCUUAGUCCUGUAUUGACGCUUUGCCUGUUUGAUGGUUCGUCAGAGGGCACAGCAGGAUUUCUUAUAAGCGUCCAGAUUAGUUUCCUGCUCCUUGAAAGUGGCAGCUCUAGCCUUUAUCUUAGUGAGGAUGUUGCCUGUAAUCCAUGGCUUCUAGAGGUUUUUAGUUGCAUAGGUGACCUACUGGUAGAAAUGAGGUAAUACAGAUUUCAGUUCUGCUGCAUUAAAAUCACUGCCACUAGGAGUGCCGACUCUGUGAAUAUUUUCUUGUUUGCUUCUGGCCCUAUACAGCUUCUUGAGUGUGGUCUUAGUGCCAGCAUUGUUUUGCGGUGGUAAGUAGACAGCUUCGAAAAAUAUAGAUGAACACUCUCUUGGUAAAUAAUAUGGUCUUAUCAUGAGGUUAUCAUGAGGUAUUCUAACACAGGCGAGCAGAGCCUUGAAACUUCGCACAUCAGCUGUUGCUCUGAUGUUCAGAACCUCUUUUCGGUGAUAUGAAGAAGAAAAAACACAAAAUAGCACAAUGACACCUGCACACUGACCUCUCUACUAUCACAGGGGCCACUAAUGGUAUUUACGGACAUAUUCAAUCUCUCAAUCAGUAUAUUGUCCCCACUUGCUUCAAAAUAUCCACAAUUGUUCCUGUACCCAAGAAAGCAAAGAUAUCUGAACUAAAUGACUAUCUACCCAUAGCACGCUCUUCUUUCAUCAUGAAGUGCUUUGAGAGGCUAGUUAAGGAUCAUAUCACCUCCACCUGACCCAACACCCUAGAUCCACUACAAUUUGCAUACCGCCCCAACAGAUCCACAGAUGACGCAACACCAGAGCACUCCAAACUCAUCACUAAGCUCAGGGCCCUGUGUCUGAACCCCUCCCUGUGCAACUGGGUCCUAGACUUCCUGACGGGCUGACCCCAAGUGAUGAAGGUAGGCAACAAAAUCUCUGCCACACUGAUCCUCAACACAGGGGCCCCACAGAGGUGCGUGCUCAGUCUCCUACUGUACUCCCUGUUCACCCAUGACUACGUGGCCACGCACGUCUCCAACUCAAUCAUCAAGUUUGCUGACGACAACAGUGGUAGGCCUGAUUCCUAACAACGAUGAGACCGCCUACAGGGAGAAGGUGAGAGCCCUAGCGGAGUGGUGCCAGGAAAAUAACCUCUCUCUCAAUGUCAACAAAACUAAGGAGCUGAUCAUGGCCUGUAGGAGACAGCAAAGAGAGCACGCCCCCAUCCACAUUGACAGGGAUGCAGUGGAGAGAGUCAAAAGAUUAAAGUUCGUCAGGGUGUACAUCACUGAGGAGGACCUGAAAUGGUCCCAUUGCACUGACAGCGUGGUGAAGCGCCUCUUCAACCUCAGGAGGCUGAAAUUCGGAUUGGCUCCUGGAUCCAUGGCCUGUUCCCCCCACUACCAUCUACAAGGUAGAGACAGUACCGGUGCAUCAAAGCUGGGACUGUGAGACUGAAUAACAUCUAUCUACAGGUCAUCAGACUGUUAAACAGUCACGACUAACCGGCCGCCGCCCAGUACCCUACCCUGAAGUUCAGACACUGUCAAUAGCCGUCCACCAUCCGGUACUCUACCAUGCACCUUAGCGUCUGCUGCCAUAUGUACACAGAGCCAUUGAACAAGGGUCACUUUUAUAAUGUUUACAUACUGUUUUAUCCACUUUAUAUGUAUAUACUGUAUUCUAGUCAUGGCUUAUCCUAUAUAACUACUGCUAUACACACCUUUUCUAUUCACAUACUGUCUAUACACACCAUUCACAAAUACAGUACUAGUCAAAAGUUUGGACACACCUACUCAGGGUUUUUCAGGGUUUUCCUACAUUUGUACUAUUUUAUACAUUGUAGAAUAAUAGUGAG